This 497-nucleotide ribosomal RNA is filed under the name uncultured bacterium. RNAcentral's name for it is "partial 16S ribosomal RNA". It matches the Rfam family "Bacterial small subunit ribosomal RNA", at positions 28 to 507 of the family's 1533-position model. The record is from RNAcentral.
GAUGAACGCUGGCGGCGUGCCUAAUACAUGCAAGUCGAGCGAACGGACGAGAAGCUUGCUUCUCUGAUGUUAGCGGCGGACGGGUGAGUAACACGUGGAUAACCUACCUAUAAGACUGGGAUAACUUCGGGAAACCGGAGCUAAUACCGGAUGAUAUUUUGAACCGCAUGGUUCAAAAGAGAAAGACGGUCUUGCUGUCACUUAUAGAUGGAUCCGCGCUGCAUUAGCUAGUUGGUAAGGUAACGGCUUACCAAGGCAACGAUGCAUAGCCGACCUGAGAGGGUGGUCGGCCACACUGGAACGGGGACACGGUCCAGACGCCUACGGGAGGCAGCAGUAGGGAAUCGUCCGCAAUGGGCGAAAGCCUGACGGAGCAACGCCGCGUGAGUGAUGAAGGUCUUCGGAUCGUAAAACUCUGUUAUUAGGGAAGAACAUAUGUGUAAGUAACUGUGCACAUCUUGACGGUACCUAAUCAGAAAGCCACGGCUAACUACGUG